UGCAGUCGAGGGAGAAGUCCUCUUCGGAGGGCGAGUAAACCGGCGAACUGGUUAGUAACAGGUGGGGAACGCGCCCCGCGGCCGGGGACAACCGUCUGGAAACAGCGGCUAAUACCGGAUGCGGCGCGUUGGUUUUCGAAUCGACGCGCGAAAGGUUCUUCUUCGGAAGGGCCGCCGCGGGAUCGCCCCGCUCCCGAUUAGCUAGAUGGUGGGGUAAUGGCCCACCAUGGCGACGAUCGGUAGCUGGUCUGAGAGGAUGGUCAGCAACACUGGGACUGAGAUACGGCCCAGACUCCUGCGGGAGGCAGCAGUCUAGAAGCUUCCGCAAUGGGCGAAAGCCUGACGGAGCGACGCCGCGUGCAUGAAGAAGGCCUUCGGGUUGUAAAAUGCUGUCAUCGGGGAAGAAGACUUCAGUGGAGACCCUCUGGAGUUUGACGGUACCCGAAGAGGAAGCCCCGGCUAACUCCGUGCCAGCAGCCGCGGUAAUACGGAGGGGGCGAGCGUUAUUCGGAAUUAUUGGGCGUAAAGAGUUCGUAGGCGGGAUGCUCAGUCCGGCGUGAAAGCCCCCGGCUCAACCGGGGAGGGUCGCUGGAUACUGGCAUUCUCGAGCAGGGCAGAGG
This 620-nucleotide ribosomal RNA is filed under the name uncultured bacterium. RNAcentral's name for it is "bacterial SSU rRNA". It matches the Rfam family "Bacterial small subunit ribosomal RNA", at positions 56 to 657 of the family's 1533-position model. The record is from RNAcentral.